UUAACUCAAAUUUGUAUGGAGUUGGAUCGUUUGCCUACGUUUGCCGCUAGGGGCGCUGUUCCAACUGCAUACAAAACUGGAUUA
Bombyx mori (domestic silkworm) is the source of this 84-nucleotide non-coding RNA. The record is from Rfam. NCBI's taxonomy places the organism in Eukaryota, Metazoa, Arthropoda, Insecta, Lepidoptera, Bombycidae.